RNAcentral lists this ribosomal RNA (362 nucleotides) under uncultured bacterium. RNAcentral describes it as "bacterial SSU rRNA". It matches the Rfam family "Bacterial small subunit ribosomal RNA", at positions 28 to 389 of the family's 1533-position model. The record is from RNAcentral.
GACGAACGCUGGCGGCGUGCUUAACACAUGCAAGUCGAGCGGUAAGGCCCUUUCGGGGGUACACGAGCGGCGAACGGGUGAGUAACACGUGGGUGACCUGCCCUCAGCUCUGGGAUAAGCCUGGGAAACCGGGGUCUAAUACUGGAUAUGACUCCAUGACGCAUGUUGUGGGGUGGAAAGCCUUGUGCGGCUGAGGAUGGGCCCGCGGCCUAUCAGCUUGUUGGUGGGGNGAUGGCCUACCAAGGCGACGACGGGUAGCCGGCCUGAGAGGGCGACCGGCCACACUGGGACUGAGACACGGCCCAGACUCCUACGGGAGGGCAGCAGUGGGGAAUCUUGCGCAAUGGGCGAAAGCCUGACGC